UUUAUUGAGAGUUUGAUCCUGGCUCAGGACGAACGCUGGCGGCGUGCUUAACACAUGCAAGUCGAGCGAUGAAGUUCCUUCGGGAACGGAUUAGCGGCGGACGGGUGAGUAACACGUGGGUAACCUGCCUCAUAG
RNAcentral lists this ribosomal RNA (135 nucleotides) under Clostridium beijerinckii. Its description in RNAcentral is "partial 16S ribosomal RNA". It matches the Rfam family "Bacterial small subunit ribosomal RNA", at positions 1 to 136 of the family's 1533-position model. Lineage: Bacteria; Bacillati; Bacillota; Clostridia; Eubacteriales; Clostridiaceae. The record is from RNAcentral.